AGCUGAUUUAACAGAAUGUCUAGCUGAGGGCACAAUUGGAUCUACAGUCAGCUUCAGAUAAAUGGCAACUGAAGAGAAUGUCGAGCUAAAGGCACAAAGCCAGCUUUAAGGAGCUUUUCUUCAGGACUAUUCUUCAAAGAGCAGUAAGGAAGAAUCCUUCCUACUGGGGUGCAACUGACAAGGCUAUCCAGAACCAUUUCACCAGGUACCCAAAAGGGGC
Esox lucius (northern pike) is the source of this 220-nucleotide long non-coding RNA. RefSeq lists it as uncharacterized. Lineage: Eukaryota; Metazoa; Chordata; Actinopteri; Esociformes; Esocidae. The transcript is spliced from 3 exons. The record is from RefSeq and is a predicted model, not a curated record.